UCGCCUUGUUUGUUUUCUGUUCCACAUGUUCUUUAAACAACAGCUUCUUAUCCAGGGUUACCCCAAGAUAUUUAACAGUGUCAGACAUGUGUAUUUUGAUCCCAUAUACAUUUGUCUUAGGGCUCUAAGAUCUCUCUUCCUUGUGAAAGCGAUAAUAGAUGUCUUGGAUGGGCUAAUUUUGAGCCCUUCCGUGUUACACCAUUGGUCGAUGAUGUUUAGCGCCUGCUGCAUCAAUGAUGAUACAGUGUCUCCAAACUUUCCCUGUACAACACCCCCAGUGCGUAGAAACCCUUCUGCUCACUUCAUUGAGUGCGACAGUAACCGUUCUGCAACUCAGCAUGUUUUGGAUCCAUUUACAUAUUAUAGGCUCCACUCCACGAUUUGACUGAAAAGAAGUAUUGUCAAAGGCUCCCUCUAUGUCCCGAAAAGCCGCCAGAGCAAUUUUUUUACGCUCUAAUGAGGUUUGGGCCCUCUGCACCAACUCGUGGAUAGCAGAUUCGCAGGAUUUUCCCAUUUGGUAGGCAUAUUGGUUGUGAUGUAGAGGACUUCUAGUAAGAACCUCUUCCCUGAUGUGUCUGUCGAUCAGCUUUUCUAGUGUUUUGAGUAAGAAGGAUGUUGGGCUGAUCGGGCGAAAGGAUUUGGCUUGGCAAGCGUUCUAUACUCUACAGAUAUUAACUCGCUUUUAUAGUUAAAAAAAUGCAGUUUCGAAAUUGAAUGUGAAUAUGGUUGGAAAAAUUAAGUAUGAUGUGCUGUUCUCACAUAAUUACUUAAUUAAACUGAUUUUUGCAUGGUUCCUAAUUUUAACAUCCACUUUUCGCGGAAACUUAGGCACUUUUAUGCUACCGAAAUAUCUUAGAUCUAAUCCUGUGUUUGCUGCAUCGCAAAAUCGGUUCAUUUUUUAAAUACAUCUCACAGUAUUCUUCAGUAAUUAAAAUGCCUGUUUCUGUAAAAAUGUUCUUGCGCCUGUAAAAAUGUUUUUCUCUUAUUAUACCCAAUUAACUUUAAGUGUAUUAAGAGCGAUAAUUUUUAAAUAACGAUAGUUUGUUUUAACUAACUCUUUCCAUAAUGAAUAAAGCGCUCCUGGAUGAUAUCGAUGAUCUGGACUAUGAACCAGAUGGCGUUGAAAAACCACUGGAGGAAGUGCCGACUCCUGAUCAAAAUGGACGAGACUUGAUUUUGGAAUCGUAUCAUAACUCUGAAACGCAGAAUUUUAACUUUCAGCCAUUAGUUUUUCCAAAAUCAGCCUCAAGUAUUCAAAGUUUUCGAGAUUUUGAUUAUAAGCAUCUAGACGUCGAUAUAGAUCAAAAUUCGUUUCGAACUCAUUAUAAUUCAUAUGUGUCCAAUUCAGAAAGGUCAUACCAUUUGGACUCUAGCGAUGAUGAGGAAAGUACUGUUCCAUUUAGUAAUUCCUCGUUUCAAGUAUCUGGUAAGUCUACUAUCAAUGUUAUACAAUGGCUUCAUUUCAAAACAAGCCACCCUAAAUUGAAGAAAUGCACAGUUUUGAAAAAGACAUCAAUUUAGAUAUUUUACAGAGUGUCUCUGAAAUAAGACCCUUACCAGAAAAUAAAACGAUCGCUAGCGGUGCUUUUAAGCGGUGCAGCGCGUUCAGUGGUUUUUCUUUGGUUUUACUGAAGAGGAACUAUAACAGACGCCGGUUGCGUUGUUUUAAUGAUAGGAAUGAAUGAAGUGGCAACAUAUUUUCAAAGCUACUGGGUCAGCCAUAAAUUAUGACCGAAUGACUUUUGCUCCUUUAUAUAUGCAACGGCUGACAAAACCAUUUAAAUUAGUUUUUGGAAGAAAACGAUCUUAAUUUAAGAACAUUUGUGCCAGCAACAACAUGAAGUAGGCUUGGGUAAUACUGUGUCUUAAGACACUUGUGCCGCUGUGUGUCUAUCUGCCGCGACGCGAUGCUUUGAACAACACUUCGGCCCACUCACACGGCAAUCUACAGGGUACAAUAUGCAGGGCCCAAUCUGUUAGAGUUGAGCAAGAA
This is a long non-coding RNA of Dendroctonus ponderosae (mountain pine beetle), 1993 nucleotides long. RefSeq lists it as uncharacterized. The transcript has 3 exons. The record is from RefSeq and is a predicted model, not a curated record. NCBI's taxonomy places the organism in Eukaryota, Metazoa, Arthropoda, Insecta, Coleoptera, Curculionidae.